RNAcentral lists this ribosomal RNA (447 nucleotides) under uncultured Oomycota. RNAcentral describes it as "LSU rRNA". It matches the Rfam family "Eukaryotic large subunit ribosomal RNA", at positions 165 to 608 of the family's 3401-position model. Lineage: Eukaryota; Oomycota. The record is from RNAcentral.
AGCAUAGCGAUUUGGGAUAAGUCCCUUGGAAGAGGGCGGCAUGGAGGGUGAUACUCCCGUCUCUGCUCAGGUUGUCUGUGUGUACGAUACGCUUUCUUUGAGUCGAGUUGUUUGGGAAUACAGCUCAAAGCAGGUGGUAAAUUCCAUCUAAAGCUAAAUAUUGGUGCGAGACCGAUAGCGAACAAGUACCGUGAGGGAAAGAUGAAAAGAACUUUGAAAAGAGAGUUAAAGAGUACCUGAAACUGUUGAAAGGGAACCGUAUCGUUUCUAGUGUGUAUCCUAUGCAUAUUUCAUUGGCGGUUGUAAAAUUGCUGGUGCCCUGUGUAUGGGUGUGACGUCAGAGUCAGUUCGUAUGCUGCGGGAAAUGGAUGUUGAGGAGGUAGGCUAGUGCUUGCAUUAGCUGUUAUAUCUUGAUGUUCUAGUAGUCGUGGUUGAGACUGAGGUGCC